RNAcentral lists this ribosomal RNA (468 nucleotides) under uncultured bacterium. Its description in RNAcentral is "partial 16S ribosomal RNA". It matches the Rfam family "Bacterial small subunit ribosomal RNA", at positions 28 to 507 of the family's 1533-position model. The record is from RNAcentral.
GACGAACGCUGGCGGCGUGCUUAACACAUGCAAGUCGAACGGAAAGGCCCUGCUUUUGUGGGGUGCUCGAGUGGCGAACGGGUGAGUAACACGUGAGUAACCUGCCCUUGACUUUAGGAUAACUUCGGGAAACUGGGGCUAAUACCGGAUAGGAGCUCCUGCUGCAUGGUGGGGGUUGGAAAGUUUCGGCGGUUGGGGAUGGACUCGCGGCUUAUCAGCUUGUUGGUGGGGUAGUGGCUUACCAAGGCUUUGACGGGUAGCCGGCCUGGGAGGGUGACCGGCCACAUUGGGACUGAGAUACGGCCCAGACUCCUACGGGAGGCAGCAGUGGGGAAUAUUGCACAAUGGGCGGAAGCCUGAUGCAGCAACGCCGCGGGCGGGAUGACGGCCUUCGGGUUGUAAACCGCUUUCGCCUGUGACGAAGCGUGAGUGACGGUAAUGGGUAAAGAAGCACCGGCUAACUACGUG